UACAGAGGUGGCAAGCGUUGUUCGGAAUUACUGGGCGUAAAGGGCGCGUAGGCGGUUCGAUAAGUCCUGUGUGAAAUCCCUCGGCUCAACUGAGGAACUGCACGGGAGACUGUCGGGCUUGAGUUCGGGAGAGGGAAGCGGAAUUCCGGGUGUAGCGGUGAAAUGCGUAGAUAUCAUGAGGAACACCAAUUGCGAAGGCAGCUCGCUGGGACGUAACUGACGCUGAGACGCGAAAGCGUGGGGAGCAAACAGG
This 253-nucleotide ribosomal RNA is filed under the name uncultured bacterium. RNAcentral's name for it is "partial 16S ribosomal RNA". It matches the Rfam family "Bacterial small subunit ribosomal RNA", at positions 524 to 776 of the family's 1533-position model. The record is from RNAcentral.